RNAcentral lists this long non-coding RNA (468 nucleotides) under Eutrema salsugineum. Its description in RNAcentral is "long non-coding RNA (ESAL_LNC002094)". The record is from RNAcentral. Lineage: Eukaryota; Viridiplantae; Streptophyta; Magnoliopsida; Brassicales; Brassicaceae.
AGAAGAUCCGAGUGCCAUCACCUCCAUCUUUAUCUCUUUCAUCAGCUCCAUCUUCUUUGUCUCCUUCAUUACCUUCAUCUCCUCCAUCUCCUACAUCUUUAUCUCUUCCAUUACUUCCAUCUUCUUUAUUUCUUUCAUCACCUCCAUAUUCUUUGUCUCCUUCAUUACCUUCAUCUCCUCCAUCUCCUACAUCUUUAUCUCUUUCAUCACUUCCAUCUUCUUUAUCUCUUUCAUCACCUCCAUCUUCUUUGUCUCCUUCAUCACUUCCAUCUUCUUCAUAUCUUUCAUCACCUCCAUCUUCUAUGUCUCCUUUAUUACCUUCAUCUUCUUCAUCUCCUCCAUCUCUUCCAUCUCCUCGUUCAUCUUCCUCGUCUCACAACUGGACACACGACGUUUUUCCGAGCUUCCGUGGGGAAGAUGUCCGCAGAAGCUUUCUCAGUCAUAUUCAAAAGGAGUUUGAAAGAAAGG